UACGUAGGGUGCAAGCGUUGUCCGGAAUUAUUGGGCGUAAAGAGCUCGUAGGCGGUUCGUCGCGUCGAAUGUGAAAACCCGGGGCUCAACCCCGGGCCUGCAUUCGAUACGGGCAGACUAGAGUUCGGUAGGGGAGUCUGGAAUUCCUGGUGUAGCGGUGAAAUGCGCAGAUAUCAGGAGGAACACCGGUGGCGAAGGCGGGACUCUGGGCCUGCACUGACGCUCAUGCACGAAAGCGUGGGGAGCAAACAGG
RNAcentral lists this ribosomal RNA (253 nucleotides) under uncultured bacterium. Its description in RNAcentral is "partial 16S ribosomal RNA". It matches the Rfam family "Bacterial small subunit ribosomal RNA", at positions 524 to 776 of the family's 1533-position model. The record is from RNAcentral.